RNAcentral lists this ribosomal RNA (503 nucleotides) under uncultured bacterium. RNAcentral's name for it is "bacterial SSU rRNA". It matches the Rfam family "Bacterial small subunit ribosomal RNA", at positions 8 to 507 of the family's 1533-position model. The record is from RNAcentral.
AGAGUUUGAUCCUGGCUCGAGAUUGAACGCUGGCGGCAGGCCUAACACAUGCAAGUCGAGCGGUAGAGAGGUGCUUGCACCUCUUGAGAGCGGCGGACGGGUGAGUAAUACCUAGGAAUCUGCCUGGUAGUGGGGAUAACGUUCGGAAACGGACGCUAAUACCGCAUACGUCCUACGGGAGAGAGCAGGGGACCUUCGGGCCUUGCGCUAUCAGAUGAGCCUAGGUCGGAUUAGCUAGUUGGUGAGGUAAUGGCUCACCAAGGCUACGAUCCGUAACUGGUCUGAGAGGAUGAUCAGUCACACUGGAACUGAGACACGGUCCAGACUCCUACGGGAGGCAGCAGUGGGGAAUAUUGGACAAUGGGCGAAAGCCUGAUCCAGCCAUGCCGCGUGUGUGAAGAAGGUCUUCGGAUUGUAAAGCACUUUAAGUUGGGAGGAAGGGCAUUAACCUAAUACGUUAGUGUUUGACGUUACCGACAGAAUAAGCACCGGCUAACUCUGUG